GAAGAUGUUUAAGAUUGCCUACAGAGUUGGGCACUUCUGUAAGGUAAUGACAUGAAGACAAAGACAAAACACCCAAAUUGGCGAGUUUAUGCAAAUUCGAGGGCAGCUCCUUCAAAGAUCUACAAUCAUCCAGCUUCAGUAUUUGCAAGUUGUAGAGUGAACAUGUGGAUUCAGGUAGUUUUUUAAUGCCAGUAUGGGAAAGGUCUAAAGAACGAAGAUGUUUAAGAUCGCCUAUAGAGUUGGGCACUUCUGUAAGGUAAUGACAUGAAGACAAAGAUAAAACACCCAAAUUGGUGAGUUCAUGCAAAUUCGAGGGCAGCUCCUUCAAAGAUUCACAACUAUUCAGCUUCAGUAUUUGUAAGUUGUAGAGUGAACAUGUGGAUUCAGGUAGUUUUUUAAUGCCAGUAUGGGAAAGGUCUAACGAACGAAGAUGUUUAAAAUUGCAAACAGAGUCAGGCAGCUCUUCAAUGUCUAAACAGUGAGACAGAGAUAAGACGCGUAAGAACUUUAACUUGGAGAACAAUUCAUGUAUCGACAUCUUGCAAUUCCAAGGCCA
RNAcentral lists this long non-coding RNA (556 nucleotides) under Glycine max (soybean). Its description in RNAcentral is "long non-coding RNA (GMAX_LNC003531)". The record is from RNAcentral. Lineage: Eukaryota; Viridiplantae; Streptophyta; Magnoliopsida; Fabales; Fabaceae.